AAAACCCCUCUACUUAGUGCCCCCUUUCGGGCAUUGCGAAAGGUUGACGAAGCGACGCCGCGUGCGGGAGGAAGGCCUUCGGGUUGUAAACCGCUGUCGGGAGUUAAGAAAUGCAAGGAUGUUAAUAGCGUUCUUGCUUGACUAAGGCUCCGGAGGAAGCCACGGCUAACUCUGUGCCAGCAGCCGCGGUAAUACAGAGGCGGCAAGCGUUGUUCGGAAUUAUUGGGCGUAAAGAGCACGUAGGCGGCCUUGCAAGUCAGUUGUGAAAGCCUUCCGCUUAACGGAAGAACGGCAUCUGAUACUACAGGGCUUGAGUACGGGAGGGGAGAGUGGAACUUCUGGUGGAGCGGUGAAAUGCGUAGAUAUCAGAAGGAACGUCGGCGGCGAAAGCGACUCUCUGGUCCGAAACUGACGCUGAGUGUGCGAAAGCUAGGGGAGCAAACGGGAUUAGAUACCCCGGUAGUCCUAGCCGUAAACGAUGGGCACUAAGUAGAGGGGUU
Molecule: ribosomal RNA, 500 nt
Filed under: uncultured Planctomycetia bacterium
Lineage: Bacteria; Pseudomonadati; Planctomycetota; Planctomycetia
Description: bacterial SSU rRNA
Rfam family: Bacterial small subunit ribosomal RNA
Source: RNAcentral